Molecule: unclassified non-coding RNA, 405 nt
Filed under: uncultured fungus
Lineage: Eukaryota; Fungi
Description: partial contains ITS1, 5.8S rRNA and ITS2
Source: RNAcentral
AACGCAAAUUGCGCUCGAGGCCUCGGCCAAGAGCAUGUCUGCCUCAGCGUCGGCUACUACCCUCAACCAAGUUUCCUAUUUUUACUGGGGAUGUUUCUUGUUCUUAUUUGCGGUGUCUCCUAUGUCAAUAGGAGAUGUCCCUUAUUUUUAUGAGGGAUAUUACCUGUCCUUGUAGGAAACGCCGGUUGGAUCUGGCUGUCCGGAUUGCCUUUCAGGUUGCCGGUCAGCUGAAAUAUAUUCUCGCUCUGGAGGCUGCUUUCCUGUCGAGGAAGUGCGAGUUCCUAUUUGGUAGGCUGCCUUUGCCGGUUACAUGCCUUCGUUGCCCGCUAUGUUUCCCAGUAUGCUUUGUGCUGUACGCCUUUUGGCUUUCUACCUGAUGUCAGUCAAGAACACCCGCUGAACUUA